AUGAGCUGGGCCCACUACGAGGCUUGCAGCAACGCGGAGUACGUGACGACCGCUAAGGCCGUGAUCACCAAAUUUUGGCAACUCUAUAGAGUUGUUGACGAGCACAACGCCAGAGCCGACGUGGUCUUGCUUGCGGCUGCGAAGAAGAAAGCUCGUCAGUUGCAGUACGAGGUGCGCUGGGUUGCCGUCUCGCAGUACUACCACUACUACCUGCACCAAAAGAUGACCAAAACUCAAGCGCAGAUGCUACGACUUACCUUGAGAAAGGAGCAGUUCAUGAUGGUUGUUCCUCGUUGGUGCUAUGGAAGGCAUGAUGGAUGGGCGAGUUUGGUGGAUAGGUGUCUCGGCGUCGAUGCAGAGUUUGCUGCAAGAGCAUCAAGGCCCGGGCUAACCGUGGAGACGACGGGACACACGGCCAAGGAAACAGGAACCACUGGGGCUUCAAGGCCAUGA
RNAcentral lists this ribosomal RNA (453 nucleotides) under Triticum aestivum (bread wheat). RNAcentral's name for it is "partial small subunit ribosomal RNA". Lineage: Eukaryota; Viridiplantae; Streptophyta; Magnoliopsida; Poales; Poaceae. The record is from RNAcentral.